RNAcentral lists this ribosomal RNA (253 nucleotides) under uncultured bacterium. RNAcentral's name for it is "partial 16S ribosomal RNA". It matches the Rfam family "Bacterial small subunit ribosomal RNA", at positions 524 to 776 of the family's 1533-position model. The record is from RNAcentral.
UACGUAGGGUGCAAGCGUUAAUCGGAAUUACUGGGCGUAAAGCGUGCGCAGGCGGCGAUGUAAGACAGAUGUGAAAUCCCCGGGCUCAACCUGGGAACUGCAUUUGUGACUGCAUCGCUGGAGUGCGGCAGAGGGGGAUGGAAUUCCGCGUGUAGCAGUGAAAUGCGUAGAUAUGCGGAGGAACACCGAUGGCGAAGGCAAUCCCCUGGGCCUGCACUGACGCUCAUGCACGAAAGCGUGGGGAGCAAACAGG